Long non-coding RNA from Brassica napus (rape), 894 nucleotides. RefSeq lists it as uncharacterized. NCBI's taxonomy places the organism in Eukaryota, Viridiplantae, Streptophyta, Magnoliopsida, Brassicales, Brassicaceae. The record is from RefSeq and is a predicted model, not a curated record. The transcript is spliced from 3 exons.
AUUUUCGAAGAGGUUUAUCAAAAGAUCCAUAGAACUAAAUACACAAGAAUCUUGGGUGUUCACAUACUGAUCCUUCCAAAACACAACGGCUUGAAAAACAAAAUGAAUAUGCUCUGAUGAGUAGGUGUUGGUUGCGUAGGGCCCGAGCUUGUCUUUCUUUUUUGAUAGAGAGAAUAUUGCUCUGCUUUCUUAUUAGAGGCUUUGAUUACAUACUUUAGGUGGUAAAGGGUCUGAUCCAGAUUUUCUGAAGAGCGAAGAGCUGUAAGUUUUGUACUUUAGUCAAUUUUGCAGCUCUACAGAACCUUCUAAGAAGCUACCUCACUAGACAGCUUUGCAGACGGGUUAGGUUAGUAAAAGCCAGUGGUAAAAAAUAUGACUCUGUAGAAAGGAGUAUUAUAUCAGUAACAAGGAGAUGCCUUUUCAUUCUGAGGACGACAAAAGUGAAGACUACCUCUUCAAGAUUCUGCAGCUCGGAAAUCAAAUUUUGCUCGCAAGAUUUGCUAGGGAUUAGUUAUACCCCAGUUAAAAGUCGACGACUAGAGUGGAGUUUCAGACGGAGAUCAAAUAACAGAUAUGGGACACAGAGGUGCUGUUGGAGCUCUUCUGGUUCACAACAUCAGCAGACAGAAAACUUUUCAGAGCAUUGGUAGAUGGCUUUAACUAGCUGCAUAGUAAGAAAACUACUCGUGGGUAACAAGUCGGAUCUAAAGUACAUAAGCACUAAACAUCGGAAGGGAAAGCGUUGGCGGAAGCGAGCACUGUUCAAUCAUUUAUUAUCGUGUGUUUAUGUAUUAAUUAAUUAACUAAAAAAAAGCUUUGAAAUCUCCUAAAAUCUGUAUUACAAAUUUUUUUUUACAAUAUAUUGUUUUCGAUCGAAUAAAAGUGGAUUUGAUU